Long non-coding RNA from Gallus gallus (chicken), 7908 nucleotides. The record is from Ensembl. NCBI's taxonomy places the organism in Eukaryota, Metazoa, Chordata, Aves, Galliformes, Phasianidae.
UUACGUGUUGGAACUGUUGAGUCAUGGCCUGCACCACUGAUUGAGCACCUGAGGAAAGGACCGGGUCAGCCCUGGGAGCACAGGUGAAGGCAAUUCAUCUGUGCAACCAGAAGGGGUGGAGCCUGGCUGCACCACUCUUAGACCUCAUUUAAGGGCUGAUUGCCAGUCUAGAAGGAUCUCUGGUCGUAGAUUCUUCCUUGGUGAAGCUUUUCCCUGUGAACCUGGAAUCUCCUGAUAUGGCAUUUUCAGUGGAAUUACGUGAAGAUGUCAUAGAGAAGGAGGUUCUGAAAGAGAAGUGGUUGAAACAAUGAGCAGCGUGGAGGAGGUGCUGCUGCUGCAGUAUCCCUUGCGUACUACACUGAAAGAAAUUGCCUGGACGUGCACCUGGAAUGUGCUCAAAUGAUACCGUGCAACUUGGAAAUGCCCAGAGGCCUUUAUGAUGACACUAUUUUGAAUUAUUGGGGAAAAAAAAAAAGAUUUAAAAUAUUUGCUCUUUGAAUGAAAUGAGUAACUCCUAGAAUGACUUCAGGUGUGUAAGAAUCCAUCACUUCCCUAGAAAGCACAAAAAUCUCAUGAAAGCAAAGAGAAUUGUACCUCCAAGAAACUCCUUAACAGCCACCACCACCAGAAGAUAAUGUCUGAUGAGCUUUUCUCAACCAAGAAUUUUCCUCCACCAUCUAAAAAAAAAGAUUGCAGUUGUUGCAAAGGAAUCAAGGAGAAAGAGGACAGCUGGGAGCAUUAAAAGCAGCCACGGAUGCUCCUUGCAAAACCUGAUUCUGAAGAGACGAGCAUCGGGGCAGAAUACCUGGAAGUCUGACACCAGUCUUGCAGUGUGGCAUGGAACACGGACUGCAGCAGUCAGAGACCUGACCUGUGCCUCACUUCAGGUGAAGUUCGUGUCUUGCAGCUCCAGGGCUGUUCUCACAGCUUUCCCAGAAAGAGAAUUUGACUUUUGGUAUGCACUUUCUGGAGAUGAAAGUACACUGCUGCUUAUUUUUAUCUCAGAUCAAAUGAUGAGCAAUCACAUCUGGAGCAGGAUGCAGAAGAUCUGAAUAGAAGCCCAAGUUCUGUCACAGAUGCACAACAGAUUUUGGCAUGAUAGCUCCUGAUGUAGAUAUAUUCUGGCUAACUUUCAAGCUAACCAGGUGGGAUACGUAUAGCUGGAAGUCCUUAGGUAGGAUUCCCAGUCCCCAGCCUUCUGUACUUUUAAAUCUAUGCUGCUCAUGGUAUUCAGCCUUGUCAGCUCCAAAACUAGGCAGAAUGUGCCUGUAUUGACUGACACAUCAAUGUCUGCCUUGCAGAACAGCAGCUAUUCAGGCUCUGAAUCAUCCUGCUCUGUCAGGCCAUGGGGAAGGACUGGGAAGCCAGAAUCAUGGCAUCUGAAACUUCAUAUUCCUGCACUCUGGAGAGAACCUGUGGGUGAGCCCUGGGAGCCAGAGGCCUCAAAGUGCCAGAGGGCAACCAUGGCUCUUGGUGUCACCUAUGAAACUGAGGACUUGAAAUCCCUGACUUUAACCUGAAUACAGAUCCUUCCACCUUAAGCCCUUUCCUAAUGAAAUCAAUAUUCUGGUCAGCUCUACUGCUAAGAAAAACAGCUGUAGCAGGAAGGGGAACAUAUUUUGUUUUCCCAGGUCCCUGCGCUGAUGUUUCUCAAAUGAAAUUUUCUCUGACGUUCAGGCAUAAAAUCUUGAAAUUAAAAUGAAAUGUAAUUGCUAAUGAAUGGAAAGUAUUACAUGCUGGCCAGCUCUAUUUGUACAUACAAAAUAUCCUAGACACCUCAAAGUUUCUUUCAUGCCAUCUCAGAUUAUUGUCCUUUAUUGUUUUACCAAGAUCUCCAAAGCCAGCUGCUUAGGGGUUUUCACUGCCCAAACUCCCACUCGUUAUUCCAUUUGACACUCGGAUCCCUUGAGCAGCACUGAAAAAUUACUAAGCCUUAAUAUCUGUGCAAGAAUUCCAAACAAUAGCUACAACGAAGGAACUGGUCCUGGCACUAAAAACCCAUGAAUAUGUAAGACAAAUUGUAUCUGGAGAGAUAACGGGCUACCAGAAUCGUCUUUCAAAAGAUAUACAAUGUAAGCUGCACACUCCUCAAUAGCUCAAGGGGCUUACAGUCAAUAAAUUUAACAGGCUCAACCUAGAAAGUCAAAGCUAAAGUACAGUAUGCAAAUACAAGCUAGAGUGGACUCUUCUUUCUACCUUAGGACAGAGUUAAUAGAGGGGAAAUGACAAAAUACAUAAAAAGGAAUGCACGGGAUUUGACAGAGCAUGUUUUUUUUUCUUUUCACUUCAAGGCAAACUACCAGACUAUUUUGGUUUACAAAUAAAUCAAACAAAGAACUUUUAUCAGUUUGCAUAAAAGUCUCAUUUUCAGCACUGGAAAGAUUAAGCUUCAGAGCCUUUUUCUGUGUGUGUAUGUGAGGGAUUACAAAGGAAGUAGUGUAAAUAAUGACCUUGCUGAAAACAGAUUAGCUUCAAUGAUUAUAUAGUAAAAUAGUAAUGUUUUCUUCACUUACAGAUUAAAAUAUCAAUUGACAGUUUCCAUAAACAAGUAAAGCUCAUGGUUAUUCAGUGUAAUAGGAUAAUGACAGUAGCAGUAUCUGACAGCCCCAUUUCUGCCUCUUGACAUUAUUUAUGGUAUUCUGAUGCUCAGUCUAGGGAGCUGGAUCUUCAGCUUUGCCAGAUGUGUUUGCUGUGGCUCAGUGUUUAUGUGACAAAAACAUUUCCUUUAGGAAUUUCCUUUAUUUUACAGUUAUGUGGUCACACUAAAUACAAAUGUAUUGGACCCAUCACAUUCUUAUGGUUAUAAUCUUUUAAAGUCAACUUUUCAAGACCUACCCCUACUGCUUUCAGGUGACUAAGAGCACAUAUGGGCUGAUUUCUCACUAGCUUACCCCUCAUACUGACAUCUACACUUAGUUUAAGUUGUCGGUCAAAACUGAAGCAGCUGGACUAUUCCCACCGAGACUCUGUUUUUCUUUUUUUUCUCUCCUGUCUUUGCUGUUUCUAAAAAGUACUACAAAGGAUGGAAACAGCAUACAUGGGAUGGAUACGGUGUUGGGUGUGGCAGGCCAGGUCUCUGCUCUGACUCAAUGGGGACUCUCAGGACAGAAAAAUCCAGCUUUGAGAGGGGCAGAGCAGAAGAAGGCUCCUGUAGUCCAAGUUAGUAUUUUAAUACAGAAAGCAACAGGCAAAUAUUCCUUCUCUUUGUGAGCAGGUCGGUGUUUAUGAGCACAAACUCAUCACAGGAGCCUUGGCUUGCAGUACCUGGGUUCUUCAAACAAAGCAAAGUGCAGUCUUGUCUAGCGUAUGUCCUGGCAGAGAAACCAGGGCUUUAAAGCAGCCUAUAAAAAUUAUGGUACACUAGCAAAAUUGGUUAAUGUUUAAUUAUGUUCAAUGGAGAAAGACUUAAAAGCCUGAAAUUGUGACUUCCUAAAUUGUCAAUCAUCUAAAAGACGCAGUAAGUUAAGAUUUUUCUUGAACAGUAUCUUCUAUUAAAUUUAUUAAGCUGUAUGACACUGAGCCUGGGUUUCUACUUUAACUUCAUGCCAAUGGAAAGGAAGAUAAGCAGACAGGAAAGAGGGUAUUGUGCUAUAGACUUGAGGUGCUGGAUUUUUUUUUUUUCUUUUAAAUUCUAUCACAAAACUUGUUUUAGGCAGAUCUCUGAAAAGAGCUCCCCCGAACUGGUCAAUGCAUCUUCAAAAAGGCUGUUAACCCUAACUGUGGGUAUUUGUACUCAUGGUAUGCCAUUUCUUAGCCUGUGUCUCUACAACAGUUUGUGAGUGCUGCGUAAUGGGGCUGUAGGCAAACACUGUGUAAAGCAGUCACAUCCAGCAAUGGUAGCAGUCUGUCUUCAGAAGCACAGAGCACAGUUCAAGCUACAAAAUCCAUUCAGAAUGUCGAAAAAAAUCAAGGAGAUUAACUUAUGCUGCACUCAGUGCUGCUCUAGUUGGUUUAAAACCUUAGCCAUAUUUACACUGAAGGGUCAAAAUGGUAGAAACAAACAAAACAAAUGAGCCUCAGCACCUGUUGUACAUGCAAGUAAUUGGAAAAAAAAAGGCUUAAAAAACAGGCUGCCAACCUUUGAUCUAUGGAGAAGGUGUCUGGACAUCACACAAGAUAUGACAGAGGAGCUCUCAAUGUAGAAGGGCAAUAGUAAGAAGCCACCCAGGGAAAGCAACAGACUAAUCUCAGAGUCCAGUGUAAGCAGAAAUCUUCUAACAGACAAAAUCAAUCCCUUCCAUGUUUUCUUUGUAGCUAAGUUGAGGAAACUAUCUCACGUAGAGAGUGAAAAAUGCACAUCCAGUGUAAUAAAUCUGCAUCCACAUAUGUCUAGCAAUUCACUUUUUCUUAUAAUUACCUUUUCUCUGUUAGUUCCUCUUGUUUCUUCAGCAGUCGUCCCAUGGAUACUUUCACGAAGAUGAUCUUGAGAAUAGAGAAUGCGCUGUCUUGUAAAGAGAAGAGAAAAUAAAAGGUUUUUGAGGGUUCUAUUCACCAUAACACGCCCAAGGGACUUCACGUACCAUCUAACUGUGCUGAUGGUAGCAGGAAAAGGCAACAGACAAAUGUAAGUCGACAAACUAGAACGCUGUUGUGCUUUCAGACUGCAUUAAAAAAGUGAAAGUCUAAAUGUUUUUCCUUUUCUUUACUUUUGCUUAGAAGUCUUUGAGGAAAGACUGAUGUUCCUUUUCCUUUACUUUUCCCAAAGUUUUAUUUUCCAGGUGUUGGGCCUGCAAAGAGCUGCUUUUAAAACUCUGGCGACAAUUUUACAUUCUGAAAGGAAUUCAAACAUUUUCACUUGCUCCAAAAUAUAUCAACUUAUAUAGCUUAUAUAACAAAUAUAGCUUAACAUUAAAAAAUACGGUGCCGUUACAUUUAUAAAACCCAAACCUUAAAUUCUUCAGUAUAAACUCCUUUACUUGUCAACUCUAUUUCAAUACAGAAAAAUAAUUUUAAAUACGAUCACUAUAAUAUCCUUAUGACAUACUUUUUUAUGAAGGUAUAGGAAAGGAGUCAGCAGUAUUCUGAAUACUAACUGAACAUAGCUUAUGACUAUGGCUAGCCAGACAGUAUUUGAAGUAGAUGGGAUCUGUUUCUGCUUUGUCUGGUCUUUGCCCAUAUCUAACCUAUAAAAAAGGCAAUUACUGAAGCAAAUGAUGAAGUUAGUAUUCAAUAAGAUAGUAAACUACUCAGUCAAAUGGUAUCAUACAGGUAAGAAAGGUCAAAUAGAAUUGAAACAGCAUAUUUAAGAAGAGGUAGGAAGCAUCAGCCCUAUCUACAAACAAUCAGUGAAGGGUAGGAUUUUCAACAGCCCCACUGAAGUUGAAGGGAAUCUCCCACUGACUCAAGCCAGUCAAACUUUAACUUUUAACUUUUUGGAAAACUUUAACCAAUCUAAUUUCAAAGGUCAUGUGCUUGUUGUUCAAAAUUAUGUGACUGUAAAUAACUUUUGUUACAGCAAAUGCUUAUCUGAUUUUAUAUUGCAUAACAAAAGGAUACAAUCUCACUCUGUAAGAUGCUCUAAACAGCGAAUUAUUUGUGAAGCAGUUCUAUCAUUACCUUAGUUGCCACUUGCUGUUCUCGAGUCCACAUUUUGUUUGUGUCACUGGUUCUAUUAAACUGCAGUGUUUCUUUUUUCUAAUUGUUUUUUGUUUUUCUGAAGUAAAUAUAAAUGUAAAGUUAGUGGUUAAAGCUUGUCUUACCUUUUCUUCUGAACAGUCAGGGUCUUUACCUCAGUCUCUGUAAACAAUACUUUGGAGUAUUCACUCAGUUGUGGUGGCCAGACCAGCAGUAACCAAUCACUAACUAAAACUACAACAGUGCUGACAUAUAGCUGUUGCGCUGUUGCCCCCAUGCCCACCAUGGACACAACACCCUGCCCAGACCUUCAGUCCUGAGCAAGCAGCAGUGGUUGAACCAAAAUACCACGCGGCCACUCUUGCGCAGAGUGCCUAGGACAAGCAUCUCAAUUUCCUUGAGCCCAGAGGUCUUCAGCACAAUGACAUGGUAACAGCUUUACGAGCAAACACUAUCUCACAAGUGAUGGGAUAUAAACCUGUUUUCAGAGAGCUGCUUGCAGUGCCAUAAGUCUGUGUCAUCGUCCCUUCCAUCAUACUCAUGCACGCUGAAAAGGCCACGAGAUUCAUUCAAAUCUUGGAGGCUUCUCUUAUCGAGUAACAAUAAAUGAAGCUCUGCAGGUCAAAUCUUGAUUAUAAAUUGCAUCCAAGUACCUGCUAAAUUGUAAAACUCUUGGGAAAGCUGAAAAUCACCAUUAUCAUUAAAUGCCACCCCUAAAAACGCAUAAGAAACAUUGUCGCUUGUUCUAGGGUGGAAGUUACUGUUAUGGAGACAUUACCAUUAACAAGUAUUUUUUACAUCAUCUAAAAAGUAUGUAUUUAGCUUAAUUGUGGUAAAACUAGAUAGUAUUCUGUUGAUUUCGUAAUUACCACAAAAACUGCAAAAUAAAAUACAUGUUUUGGGGGAGACUGAGAAUUUGAUGUAGUUUAUAAUCAACAACAUUGUUCACAAUGACAGAUCUGAGUAUACAGAAAUUAUUUCACGUCACAGCACUGGUGCUAACACUUGCUUUUCCACUUGCUUUUCAUUACCAUUGCAAAGUAGUUUUCAUAGACAGUGCUUAUUUUAGUCAUGGCAGAAACUAAUGAAUUUUUCAGACUUGUGUCUGGGUUUUAUUAUACUCCUAUACAAUCUUUUAUUAUACUCCUACAAAAUCUGGUUUUUAUGUAUUGUACUAUCAAAGAGUGGGCUGAGGAUGCCCUUACUUCCCUUUGAAUCUUUUUUACAACUUUAUAAUUCAGAAAUUUAAACUUCUCUUUACCCGUUAUGAACUGCUAACCUCUGAGUCUGGCCUUGGUUCUCCCGCUGGGUCACCAUGAAACGAUCUGCAUGAUGGUCACAUCCAGAGCCUCUCCUGUUUGGGCCCUGCUCUACUAAACAAUGUAAAAACAAGGCCGUAAAUAAUUCCCCCUCUCCCAGAGCCUGCAGUCUGCUAUGUUUACAGUACAGGUUUCAGUGAAGGAAAAGGACAGCUGAGCUAAUUCAUCUAAAGCUAACACUCAUAUCCCUGCUCCGUAAGCACAACCUAAGUAGGUAAGACAAGGGAGAGCAAAACGGGUACUAAAUAAGUGAUAGGAAAAGGGAAACUCAUAAUUCUUCCCUCCACGCAACUGACAUGAACGAGGUAUUCACAGCAAGAGAUCCAGCAGAGAAGACAAGGCAUCGAGUACAAGAAGCUGUCAGUCUGAACAUCAUUCUGCCCUUCCUAAGAAAUCCUUCUUCGAAGAGACAGGACCACCACAGAGCAAUUCCCAGCCCUGCUGGAUAUGGAAGCUGCUGGAGGAUGUUGCCAUAAGGCAGAACAUGUGGCUGCCCUGGUGCCCAGGGAAGGCAGCAGCACUGAUUGGCUUUGUGCUGUUUGCUAGCAAAAUAGAAAGAGAUAAGACAUAUGGAAGUUUGUCUAGCUGAUGCAACAAUGUACUAGAAGCCAGCAAACACUGAGCACUGCUCUGUUUCUUCUGCAGCUUUUACUUGGUCAGUUCAUAUUGCUCCAUAAAUCACUUUUCUCAUUCAAAAAAUAAAAAGACAAAAUAGGACAACAAUUUUUCUUACCUCUCCCUUAUGUGGAUAAUGAGUACUGAGCUGGCAGACCCUGGCACAGAAGUGGUCUGACAUAAAGGUGUGGAGAGAGCAGCAUUAAGGAGAAUAUGCCGUUUCUUCCUUGACCAGAUGGGGUUUGAGUGAAUGCCACCUAAUGCAGAACAGAGGAAGAAAAGUAAAGACGUUGUAUUGAUAGGUAGAUACUGUGAGGUCAAAGAGCCUUAAAAAAAAAAAAGUUUGAAAUAGCAUAAAAUUGAUACUUUCACACAAACAAUUAUUUCCCCUUGUACCAUC